AACACAGUCGGAUCCAGCAG
Molecule: unclassified non-coding RNA, 20 nt
Filed under: Mus musculus (house mouse)
Lineage: Eukaryota; Metazoa; Chordata; Mammalia; Rodentia; Muridae
Description: oocyte_clustered_small_RNA7033
Source: RNAcentral